UGGGGAAUAUUGGACAAUGGGCGAAAGCCUGAUCCAGCAAUACCGCGUGUGUGAAGAAGGCCUUCGGGUUGUAAAGCACUUUAAGUUGGGAAGAAAAAACUUUACCUAAUACGUGAAGUCUUGACGGUACCGACAGAAUAAGCACCGGCUAACUCUGUGCCAGCAGCCGCGGUAAUACAGAGGGUGCUAGCGUUAAUCGGAUUUACUGGGCGUAAAGCGUGCGUAGGUGGUUUGAUAAGUCGGUUGUGAAAGCCCCGGGCUCAACCUGGGAAUGGCGGCCGAUACUGUCAGACUCGAAAACGGUAGAGGGAGGUGGAACUCCAGGUGUAGCGGUGAAAUGCGUAGAUAUCUGGAAGAACAUCGAUGGCGAAGGCAGCCUCCUGGGCCUGUUUUGACACUGAGGCACGAAAGCGUGGGUAGCAAACA
Molecule: ribosomal RNA, 426 nt
Filed under: uncultured bacterium
Lineage: Bacteria
Description: partial 16S ribosomal RNA
Rfam family: Bacterial small subunit ribosomal RNA
Source: RNAcentral